Long non-coding RNA from Oncorhynchus mykiss (rainbow trout), 1668 nucleotides. The record is from Ensembl. Lineage: Eukaryota; Metazoa; Chordata; Actinopteri; Salmoniformes; Salmonidae.
AUGAGUUCAGUGAUCCCCCUGCUCCCCAACACCCUCUUCCCUGUCAUAUUCACUAUCCGUAUAUCUUCCAGCCGCAGCCUGGAGGAACAUCACACAGUCUCACACAGUCUCACACAGUCUCACACAGUCUCACACAGUCUCACACACACAACACACACACACACACACACACACACACACACACACACACACACACACACACACACACACACACACACACACACACACACACACACACACACACACACACAACACACACACACACAAAUCCAUCAUCAAAACGACCUGCUGGUAAAAACAUUUUGUCCCCCAGUCUACAAUAAGAUAACAGAAAAACGCUUUGGUUCCUUUUGUUUCUGUUGUGGUAUCUCCCUCUGUUGUUUCAUCUCCCUCUGUUGUUUCAUCUCCAUCUGUUGUUUAUGUUGUGGUAUCUCCCUCUGUUGUUUCUGUUGUGGUAUCUCCCCCUGUUGUUUCUGUUGUGGUAUCUCCCUCUGUUGUUUCUGUUGUUUCAUCUCCCUCUGUUGUUUCUGUUGUGGUAUCUCCCUCUGUUGUUUCUGUUGUGGUAUCUCCCUCUGUUGUUUCUGUUGUGGUAUCUCCCUCUGUUGUUUCUGUUGUUUCAUCUCCCUCUGUUGUUUCUGUUGUGGUAUCUCCCUCUGUUGUUUCAUCUCCCUCUGUUGUUUCAUCUCCCUCUGUUGUUUCUGUUGUGGUAUCUCCCUCUGUUGUUUCAUCUCCCUCUGUUGUUUCUGUUGUGGUAUCUCCCUCUGUUGUUUCUGUUGUGGUAUCUCCCUCUGUUGUUUCUGUUGUGGUAUCUCCCUCUGUUGUUUCAUCUCCCUCUGUUGUUUCUGUUGUGGUAUCUCCCUCUGUUGUUUAUGUUGUUUCAUCUCCCUCUGUUGUUUCUGUUGUGGUAUCUCCCUCUGUUGUUUAUGUUGUUUCAUCUCCCUCUGUUGUUUCAUCUCCCUCUGUUGUUUCAUCUCCAUCUGUUGUUUAUGUUGUGGUAUCUCCCUCUGUUGUUUCUGUUGUGGUAUCUCCCCCUGUUGUUUCUGUUGUAGUAUCUCCCUCUGUUGUUUCAUCUCCCUCUGUUGUUUCAUCUCCCUCUGUUGUUUCUGUUGUGGUAUCUCCCUCUGUUGUUUCUGUUGUGGUAUCUCCCUCUGUUGUUUCUGUUGUUUCAUCUCCCUCUGUUGUUUCUGUUGUGGUAUCUCCCCCUGUUGUUUCAUCUCCCUCUGUUGUUUCUGUUGUGGUAUCUCCCUCUGUUGUUUCUGUUGUGGUAUCUCCCUCUGUUGUUUCAUCUCCCUCUGUUGUUUCUGUUGUGGUAUCUCCCUCUGUUGUUUCUGUUGUGGUAUCUCCCUCUGUUGUUUCUGUUGUGGUAUCUCCCUCUGUUGUUUCAUCUCCCUCUGUUGUUUCAUCUCCCUCUGUUGUUUCUGUUGUGGUAUCUCCCUCUGUUGUUUCAUCUCCCUCUGUUGUUUCUGUUGUGGUAUCUCCCUCUGUUGUUUCUGUUGUGGUAUCUCCCUCUGUUGUUUCAUCUCCCUCUGUUGUUUCUGUUGUGGUAUCUCCCUCUGUUGUUUCUGUUGUGGUAUCUCCCUCUGUUGUUGGGUCUGUUUUGUGGCGAUGCGUAUCUGCCCGCUCUCACCUGAGGAUCACCCUCUUAUUUCUCCUUCACCACUUUAUUAA